CCGACCGUUCCUCCGGUCGUAGCCUAGGAUGGCGUGCAGACUGGGCAACCGGUCUGUGCGAAGCCUGUCCGACAAUGUACCCCACCCUAAAAGGUGAAGCAGAACCCGUGAGGGGGAAGCGGAGCUGCGAGCGCCACGCGGCAGGGGGC
RNAcentral lists this non-coding RNA (149 nucleotides) under Tepidiphilus thermophilus. The record is from RNAcentral. Lineage: Bacteria; Pseudomonadati; Pseudomonadota; Hydrogenophilia; Hydrogenophilales; Hydrogenophilaceae.